GCCGAAGUGGCUCAGUGGUAGAGCACCACACUCAUAAUGUGGGGGUCGCGAGUUCGAUUCUCGCCUUCGGCA
RNAcentral lists this transfer RNA (72 nucleotides) under Candidatus Aenigmatarchaeota archaeon. Its description in RNAcentral is "tRNA-Met". It matches the Rfam family "tRNA". Rfam says of the family: Transfer RNA (tRNA) molecules are approximately 80 nucleotides in length. Their secondary structure includes four short double-helical elements and three loops (D, anti-codon, and T loops). The record is from RNAcentral. Lineage: Archaea; Nanobdellati; Candidatus Aenigmatarchaeota.